GUUUCUAUGUCUUUAUGCUUUAGUAAUAGAAGUUGCAUAAUCUAUGUAUAUUAUUGUUUUUGGGUCCAUUGUAGAACCCUUAUUGGUUUGUAGUAUUGGUCUUUGGUAGAAAUGUGCUAUUUUAUCAGUUUCCGUAAAUUAAGUUUGUCUGCAAGGGCUCAUGAUAUCUUUCUGCGGAAUGUCUAUCUAUAAGGCAUUCAUUUAUUAAUUUUGUCUGAUGAAUUUGAUACUAAUUAAAAUGUUUAUUUAAAUUUGAAAAAGAUAGAAACCACAUAAGCGUCUUUGUGAUUUUAAAAGGGUGGAUUUCAUAGGAAUUCAGAGUAAUUUUGUACACUUUGAGCAAGAUAGACAGGCAUACUUUAUCCUAAUGUGAAAGCCACUACAUUAAAGUAAUUAAUGCAUUAAAGGGAAAAGCAUAACUGAAAACUCCACAAAAAAACAGAUCACACUAACUGCACAUAUGUACAACACGUUUGCACAAAUUAAAUGUUACAAAGGUCUCACGUAGAUUAUGGAGGGGAAGAGGUUUCGAUGCUGAUUGGAAGUAAGCAGUUAUAACAUUCAGGGUUGUAUUAAAAGCAUUGAAAUCAUUAAAUAGUAACUACUAAACUAUAAGAAAGAGAAAGGCAUUGAGCUAAAAUCGUGUGUUUUUAAGACAACUCAAAUUCUUUCAUUUAUAUUGAGAAAAUAGAAACAAUAAAGAUAACUUGAGUUUUCACAUGGGGUUGAAAUAUAUGCAGAGCUUUUGAUCUUCUUUAAACAGACUUAAGAGUUACAUUGUAAUUUUUUCUCUUCUUUUGAUCAAAUGCUUCACAUGAAAGGAUGUAAAAUACUGAUAUUAAGGUCAAACUCUCUUACCUUGAUAUUUAAUGAGUCCAACUUUAUGAGUGUUGCUCUGAACAUAAGGACAGUGACAAUAGAUCAAAACCAUUCACAUAGUCCACCUCACAUCUUAAAUUUUAGACUUAGUAAUUUGGUUUAUAUACCUAAGCUUUUAUUCGUUUUAGUUUUUAUAUUUAUCUUUUAUUUAAUUGAAUUCCUAUUUUUAUAAAAAAGAUUUGGACUUUGAUACAUAACACUUUCAAACAUAGUUAAUGUCAUAUGUUUGUUAAGUUUUUCUUAUAAAAAUAGAGACU
This 1136-nucleotide long non-coding RNA is filed under the name Vigna radiata. RNAcentral's name for it is "long non-coding RNA (VRAD_LNC014388)". The record is from RNAcentral. Lineage: Eukaryota; Viridiplantae; Streptophyta; Magnoliopsida; Fabales; Fabaceae.